GACGAACGCUGGCGGCGUGCUUAACACAUGCAAGACGAACGGAAAGGCCCUGCUUUUGUGGGGUGCUCGAGUGGCGAACGGGUGAGUAACACGUGGGUAACCUGCCCUUGACUUUGGGAUAACUUCAGGAAACUGGGGCUAAUACCGGAUAGGAGCUCCUGCUGCAUGGUGGGGGUUGGAAAGUUUCGGCGGUUGGGGAUGGACUCGCGGCUUAUCAGCUUGUUGGUGGGGUAGUGGCUUACCAAGGCUUUGACGGGUAGCCGGCCUGAGAGGGUGACCGGCCACAUUGGGACUGAGAUACGGCCCAGACUCCUACGGGAGGCAGCAGUGGGGAAUAUUGCACAAUGGGCGGAAGCCUGAUGCAGCAACGCCGCGUGCGGGAUGACGGCCUUCGGGUUGUAAACCGCUUUCGCCUGUGACGAAGCGUGAGUGACGGUAAUGGGUAAAGAAGCACCGGCUAACUACGUG
Molecule: ribosomal RNA, 468 nt
Filed under: uncultured bacterium
Lineage: Bacteria
Description: partial 16S ribosomal RNA
Rfam family: Bacterial small subunit ribosomal RNA
Source: RNAcentral